GUCCCUGUAGCGCAAUGGAUAGCGCGUUGGACUUCUAAUCCAAAGGUCGUGGGUUCAAACACACCUGGAAUG
Molecule: transfer RNA, 72 nt
Filed under: Trichonephila inaurata madagascariensis
Lineage: Eukaryota; Metazoa; Arthropoda; Arachnida; Araneae; Nephilidae
Rfam family: tRNA
About the family: Transfer RNA (tRNA) molecules are approximately 80 nucleotides in length. Their secondary structure includes four short double-helical elements and three loops (D, anti-codon, and T loops). Further hydrogen bonds mediate the characteristic L-shaped molecular structure. tRNAs have two regions of fundamental functional importance: the anti-codon, which is responsible for specific mRNA codon recognition, and the 3' end, to which the tRNAs corresponding amino acid is attached (by aminoacyl-tRNA synthetases). tRNAs cope with the degeneracy of the genetic code in two manners: having more than one tRNA (with a specific anti-codon) for a particular amino acid; and 'wobble' base-pairing, i.e. permitting non-standard base-pairing at the 3rd anti-codon position.
Source: Rfam by way of RNAcentral